This 232-nucleotide signal recognition particle RNA is filed under the name human gut metagenome. RNAcentral describes it as "Bacterial large signal recognition particle RNA". It matches the Rfam family "Bacterial large signal recognition particle RNA", at positions 6 to 231 of the family's 256-position model. From Rfam's summary of the family: The signal recognition particle (SRP) is a universally conserved ribonucleoprotein involved in the co-translational targeting of proteins to membranes. Archaeal SRP consists of a 7S RNA and homologues of the eukaryotic SRP19 and SRP54 proteins. In most bacteria, the SRP consists of a 4.5S RNA and the Ffh protein (a homologue of the eukaryotic SRP54 protein). The record is from RNAcentral.
ACUAACCGGGGAGGUAGCGGUGCCCUGUACUUGCAAUCCGCUAUAGCAAGGGUGAAUGCCUUAUGGAGGGACCUUUUUGUGCGGUCCGUGCAAAACAGAGGAUGUUGAGAACCGGGUCUUGCGCAAUCGUUCUUUGUGAACCUUGUCAGGCGGGGAACCGAGCAGCAAUAAGCAAAUGCUUCGAUGUGCCGCAAGGCAGCCUGGUUUGAGUCCAACCUUUUGUAACGCGCAU